This 465-nucleotide ribosomal RNA is filed under the name Vreelandella stevensii. RNAcentral's name for it is "partial 16S ribosomal RNA". It matches the Rfam family "Bacterial small subunit ribosomal RNA", at positions 338 to 795 of the family's 1533-position model. The record is from RNAcentral. Lineage: Bacteria; Pseudomonadati; Pseudomonadota; Gammaproteobacteria; Oceanospirillales; Halomonadaceae.
CCUACGGGUGGCUGCAGUGGGGAAUAUUGGACAAUGGGCGCAAGCCUGAUCCAGCCAUGCCGCGUGUGUGAAGAAGGCCUUCGGGUUGUAAAGCACUUUCAGUGGGGAAGAAAGCCUUGGGGCUAAUACCCUCGAGGAAGGACAUCACCCACAGAAGAAGCACCGGCUAACUCCGUGCCAGCAGCCGCGGUAAUACGGAGGGUGCGAGCGUUAAUCGGAAUUACUGGGCGUAAAGCGCGCGUAGGCGGUCUUAUAAGCCGGUUGUGAAAGCCCCGGGCUCAACCUGGGAACGGCAUCCGGGACUGUCAGGCUAGAGUGCAGGAGAGGAAGGUAGAAUUCCCGGUGUAGCGGUGAAAUGCGUAGAGAUGGGGAGGAAUACCAGUGGCGAAGGCGGCCCUCUGGACUGACACUGACGCUGAGGUGCGAAAGCGUGGGUAGCAAACAGGAUUAGAUACCCCGGUAGUC